UCUCCAAACGAUCAGAAUCGAGCCGAAAUCUACCGUGAACCCUUUCGUGGAUCCUUCCUUCUUCGACCGAGCUAUCGAUAGCCCUAAUUCGAUCGUACUCGCAACCCUAUCUCGAGGCGUCGACGGUGUCGAUAAUUGCGGAAGUGAUGGCGAGAUUAGCAAGGAUAGGGUAGGAGGAAGCGGCACAGCUGCGUCGUUAUUAUCAUUCUCUUCAUUAAAGGACGAUCGGGGCAACGCUUUAAUGGCUUUCUGGGUCUUAUCGUCCGCGGACUCUCGCGGCCCGAGACGCUCAUACGUCGGCCGCUUAUUUCAAUAUUACACUGUAAUAAAUAGCGAGCGUACACGUCGAGGAUUAAAUCGACGAAAAUUACAGAUCGUUCGGGACGAUGGGGACAGGCGGGACGGAGGAAGGAAGCGGAGACCCGCAAAUUACAUAGAUCUCGACCAACGGUACCACGCGUAUACUCUGGGAAUUUUUCAUCCAUGUUGUUGGGAUAAGAGAGACAUUGGAAGAUAGAUAGAGAGAGAGUGGGUUGUUGCGGAGCACUACAGGAUCGUUAUCGAGAGGGUCGACCACCCCUGCGAACCUGACUGUGACUCGAGGGUGGCUGAGAAUUUUGCAGUUUUCGAUUAGGAGCACUUGCUAAUUUGACGAGUGUUGGUGGAGAUUAUGAAUCGUGAUUUUUGAUCCAUAUCGAUCCAAUAACGCAUACAGAAAACGCUCGGUAAUUACCGUGCACUGUCUCACGGGCAGAUCGACAUACUGGCGCUUAAUAACAGGCAAUAAUUGCUGUUUUUCAACGGAAACGGGCAAGUAGAAGCAUUACCUACAAAGUCUUCGUUAUUAAACGAGUCAUCGAUUACGCAACAGAAUUAAUUACGUUUCGAUUGGCAGUGAAGAAUGAUCAUUGAAAUCUCAUUCCGACCAAACCUACGCCGAAUAAUGCUAUAUUUAAAAUUAAGUGCAUCUGGAAAGUGAAAAAAAAUGAUAAAUUUGAAUUAUUCACGACUAACCUGGGGGCACAUUUUGCACUGGUACUUCCUGGG
Molecule: long non-coding RNA, 1047 nt
Organism: Hylaeus volcanicus
Lineage: Eukaryota; Metazoa; Arthropoda; Insecta; Hymenoptera; Colletidae
Exons: 4
Source: RefSeq, a predicted model, not a curated record